This 300-nucleotide ribosomal RNA is filed under the name uncultured Chthonomonas sp. RNAcentral's name for it is "bacterial SSU rRNA". It matches the Rfam family "Bacterial small subunit ribosomal RNA", at positions 496 to 795 of the family's 1533-position model. Lineage: Bacteria; Bacillati; Armatimonadota; Chthonomonadia; Chthonomonadales; Chthonomonadaceae. The record is from RNAcentral.
GUUGACUGGGUGGAAGCGGGCGUGUGAAUACGUAGGGUGCGCGCUUUGUCCGGUAUUGUUGGGCGUAAAGAGGUCGGAGGCGGUUUGUUGCGUCUACCGGGAAAACUGGAGGCUUAACCUUCAGGUUGCGGUGGAUACGGGCAGACUUGAGUUCGGUAGGGGAGAGUGGAAUGCCUGGUGUAGCGGUGAAAUGCGCAGAUAUCAGGAGGAACACCGGUGGCGAAGGCGGGUCUCUGGGCCGAUACUGACGCUGAGGAGCGAAAGCGUGGGGAGCGAACAGGAUUAGAUACCCCGGUAGUC